AGCCACCGUAAGGGGGCGGAUCGGA
This 25-nucleotide non-coding RNA is filed under the name Cricetulus griseus (Chinese hamster). Lineage: Eukaryota; Metazoa; Chordata; Mammalia; Rodentia; Cricetidae. The record is from RNAcentral.